This 863-nucleotide ribosomal RNA is filed under the name uncultured bacterium. RNAcentral describes it as "bacterial SSU rRNA". It matches the Rfam family "Bacterial small subunit ribosomal RNA", at positions 8 to 853 of the family's 1533-position model. The record is from RNAcentral.
AGAGUUUGAUCAUGGCUCAGGACGAACGCUGGCCGCGUGCCUAAUACAUGCAAGUAGAACGCUGAAGACUGGUGCUUGCACUAGUCAGAUGAGUUGCGAACGGGUGAGUAACGCGUAGGUAACCUACCUCAUAGCGGGGGAUAACUAUUGGAAACGAUAGCUAAUACCGCAUGACAAUUAAGUACUCAUGUACUAAAUUUAAAAGGAGCAAUUGCUUCACUAUGAGAUGGACCUGCGUUGUAUUAGCUAGUUGGUGAGGUAACGGCUCACCAAGGCCACGAUACAUAGCCGACCUGAGAGGGUGAUCGGCCACACUGGGACUGAGAUACGGCCCAGACUCCUACGGGAGGCAGCAGUAGGGAAUCUUCGGCAAUGGGGGCAACCCUGACCGAGCAACGCCGCGUGAGUGAAGAAGGUUUUCGGAUCGUAAAGCUCUGUUGUUAGAGAAGAACGGUAAUGGGAGUGGAAAAUCCAUUACGUGACGGUAACUAACCAGAAAGGGACGGCUAACUACGUGCCAGCAGCCGCGGUAAUACGUAGGUCUCGAGCGUUGUCCGGAUUUAUUGGGCGUAAAGCGAGCGCAGGCGGUUAUUUAAGUCUGAAGUUAAAGGCCGUGGCUCAACCAUGGUUCGCUUUGGAAACUGGAUAACUUGAGUGCAGAAGGGGGGAGUGGAAUUCCAUGUGUAGCGGUGAAAUGCGUAGAUAUAUGGAGGAACACCGGUGGCGAAAGCGGCUCUCUGGUCUGUAACUGACGCUGAGGCUCGAAAGCGUGGGGAGCAAACAGGAUUAGAUACCCUGGUAGUCCACGCCGUAAACGAUGAGUGCUAGGUGUUAGGCCCUUUCCGGGGCUUAGUGCCGCAGCU